AUUGAGGCUGGAGGAGGAGUUCAUGCAAAACUGGGAUCUUUAUCUCUCAUAAACUGUUUCUGUUCACUGAUUGUAUGUGGCUUUUGUUAAAGAACAUCAUUAGCAAUGGCAACAAUAAUUAAUUCAGUCCUGAUAUUACUGUUUUUAAAUGAUAUUCAUUGUCAGACCUUCACUCAGUCUGAAGCUGUGGUAAAGAGACCAGGUGAAUCUUUUCGUCUGGUCUGUACUGCCUCUGGAUAUUCAUUCAGCGGCUACUGGGCAGGUGUAGUGAGACAGGCAGCUGGUAAAGGACUGGAAUGGGUUUCAACUAUCGGCACGUCCAGUUCUGAGAAGUACUAUUCCCAGUCAGUUCAGGGCAGGUUCACAGUGUCCAGAGAUGAUUCCAGCAGUCAACUGUAUCUACAGAUGAACAGCCUCAAGACUGAAGACACUGCUGUGUAUUACUGCGCUAGAGAGUCACAGUGAAUGAGUUCAGUGUCAAAGCAAUACAAAAACCACCUUCACUGUUGACUUCACGGAUGCUCCAGAUGUACUGUUCCUUUUCCAAGAGGUGGCGCUCUUGUCAAGCAGUCUUAGUUCACUGCUUCAAAUGUCACUGACUGACCGUUUGUUUUCUUGACAGAGAAAUAGACAUUCCGA
This is a non-coding RNA of Carassius auratus (goldfish), 639 nucleotides long. NCBI's taxonomy places the organism in Eukaryota, Metazoa, Chordata, Actinopteri, Cypriniformes, Cyprinidae. The record is from the annotation of a RefSeq genome assembly.